This 895-nucleotide ribosomal RNA is filed under the name uncultured bacterium. RNAcentral's name for it is "bacterial SSU rRNA". It matches the Rfam family "Bacterial small subunit ribosomal RNA", at positions 8 to 916 of the family's 1533-position model. The record is from RNAcentral.
AGAGUUUGAUUAUGGCUCAGGAUGAACGCUAGCGGUGUGCCUAAUACAUGCAAGUCGAACGGGAUCCUUUGGAUUCGUCUGAAGGUGAGAGUGGCGGACGGGUGAGUAACACGUAGGUGACCUGCCCCGGAGAGGGGGACAACCACUGGAAACGGUGGCUAAUACCCCAGAUGUUAGUGCGCUUAGAAAGCAUUGACUAAAGCCCCGGCGCUCCGGGAGGGGCCUGCGGCCCAUCAGCUUGUUGGUAAGGUAAUGGCUUACCAAGGCAAAGACGGGUAGGGGGCGUGAGAGCGUGACCCCCCACACUGGUACUGAGACACGGACCAGAUACCUGCGGGUAGCAGCAGCAAGGAAUAUUGCCCAAUGGACGAAAGUCUGAGGCAGCAACACCGCGUGGAGGAUGAAGGCCUUCGGGUUGUAAACUCCUUUUCUGGGGGAAGAGAAAGGACGGUACCCCAGGAAUAAGUCUCGGCUAACUACGUGCCAGCAGCCGCGGUAAAACGUAGGAGGCGAGCGUUAUCCGGAUUUACUGGGCGUAAAGCGCAUGCAGGCGGUUUUUUAAGUCGGACGUGAAAGCCCUCGGCUCAACUGAGGGAGGCCGUUCGAAACUAGGAAACUUGAGGAUGGUAGAGGAGAGUGGAAUUCCCGGUGUAGUGGUGAAAUGCGUAGAUAUCGGGAGGAACACCAGUGGCGAAGGCGGCUCUCUGGGCCAUUCCUGACGCUCAGAUGCGAAAGCUAGGGGAGAGAACGGGAUUAGAAACCCCGGUAUUCCUAGCCGUAAACGAUGUCAACUAGGCGUAGGAGGGUUAUUGACCCCUUCUGUGCUGUAGCUAACGCAUUAAGUUGACCGCCUGGGGACUACGGCCGCAAGGCUAAAACUCAAAGGAAUUGACGG